AUGCCAAGGAUGCUCACCGCCAACGUGCAACAAAUCCGGGCGAUGGUUGCCUCUGCUGAGGCUUUAGGCGUGCCUCCUGGCUCUGCGAUGUUCAGGCAAGCUCUGCGGUCUGUUGCGUUAGUUAGUGAGGAGAAGAUGGCCACCAAAGUGGAUCACUUAAAGAAGGCAACAAGGUGGUCGGAUGCCGAUGUCGCCAUUGCUGUGUCCAAGUGGCCGAUUCUGCUGAGGUGGUCCAAGGAAACGCUGCAGCGCAAGUCCGACUUCCUCAUCGCGGAGGUGGGAUUGGAACCGGCGUACAUUGCUCGUCGGCCAGCGAUGCUUAGUUUUAGCCUGGAGGGCCGGCUCAGGCCCCGGUACUAUGUUAUGAGGUUUCUCAAGGAAAAUGGAUUGCUAGAUCAUGACAGAGACUACUACACUAUGGUCUUGUUUGGCGAGAAGGUGUUUGUGGAGAAAUUCAUAUGCCCUCACAAGGAAGCUGCGCCGCACCUCCCUGAAGACUAUGCUGCUGCUCGCAGAGGGGAAAUGCCGACUAAUUUCAGAUUUGUAUGA
This 549-nucleotide ribosomal RNA is filed under the name Triticum aestivum (bread wheat). Its description in RNAcentral is "partial small subunit ribosomal RNA". Lineage: Eukaryota; Viridiplantae; Streptophyta; Magnoliopsida; Poales; Poaceae. The record is from RNAcentral.